Molecule: transfer RNA, 64 nt
Filed under: Trigonopteryx hopei
Lineage: Eukaryota; Metazoa; Arthropoda; Insecta; Orthoptera; Trigonopterygidae
Description: tRNA-Pro
Source: RNAcentral
CAUAGGUUAGUUUAUAAUUAAAAUAUUGGUUUUGGGGGCCAAUGAAAGAGAUUUCUACCUUUGU